RNAcentral lists this long non-coding RNA (2669 nucleotides) under Linum usitatissimum (flax). RNAcentral's name for it is "long non-coding RNA (LUSI_LNC004790)". Lineage: Eukaryota; Viridiplantae; Streptophyta; Magnoliopsida; Malpighiales; Linaceae. The record is from RNAcentral.
CGGAAGUUAACUGCUCGGGAAACUCUGUCACGGUGCUGAAUUUCAAUUCUCUGAAUAUCCCUGGUACGGUUCCACCAUUCAUAUGUGAUCUGAAGAACCUGACUUUUCUGGAUCUUUAUAACAACAGCAUCGUUGGAGCAUUCCCAACAGUUCUGUACAACUGUUCCAAUCUUGAGUACUUAAACCUUGGCCAAAACUACUUCGUCGGUCCGAUACCCGGUGAUGUUGAUCGUUUGGGUCGACUGAAUCACCUUGAUGUCUCUGGUAAUAACUUCUCCAGUGACAUCCCAUCUGCCAUUGGGAGGUUGAAGGAGUUGAAGGUUCUUUACCUUAACCAAAAUCAGUUCAAUGGAACUUUCCCGCAGGAAAUUGGCUCAUUAUCUAAAUUAGAAGAGUUGAAAUUGGCCCACAAUGGGUUUAUGCCUUCGUUGCUGCAUUCCAACUUUACCCAGCUGAAGAAUCUCAAGGUUCUGUGGGUUAACGAUGCGAAUCUGAUUGGGGAGAUACCGGAAAUGAUCGGAGAGAUGGAAGCAUUGGAGGGCUGGAUCGGCACCGGAGUCAUGGGCCGCUCUAUGUGUUCCCACCUCAUCAAAGCUGGCUAACCUCUCACAGUCUUCACCCGCACCGUUUCCAACGCCCAACCCCUCCUCGACAUCGGUGCCAAACUCGCCGAUUCCCCACUCGCCGUCGCUUCCCAAUCCGACGUCGUCUUCUCCAUCGUCGCCUUCCCCUCCGACGUCCGCCAGGUACUGCUCCACCCCACCUCCGGCGCCCUCCAGGGCCUCAAUCCAGGCGGGAUUCUCGUCGACAUGACCACAUCGGAACCCUCCCUCGCCGCUGAGAUCUCCGACGCUGCAUCGGCCAAAAACUGCCACUCGAUCGACGCGCCCGUCUCGGGCGGCGAUCGCGGUGCGAAGAGUGGGACCCUGGCGAUAUUCGCCGGCGGGGAUAGAUCCGUGGUAGAGAGGCUAAAUCCUUUAUUCGCCCUCAUGGGUAAGGUUAAUUACAUGGGCGCCCCAGGGAAGGGCCAAUUCGCUAAACUGGCGAAUCAGAUCACCAUAGCUUCGGCGAUGGUUGGGUUGGUGGAAGGGAUGAUAUAUGCUUACAAGGCUGGCCUGAACGUGGAAGUUUACUUGAGCGCAAUCUCUACAGGAGCCGCUGGGUCCAAGUCGCUGGAUUUGUACGCUGGUAGGAUUAUGGAGAGGGAUUUCCAACCUGGGUUUUAUGUGAAUCAUUUUGUCAAGGAUUUGGGCAUCUGUUUGAAAGAGUGUCAGAAUAUGGGACUUGUUUUGCCUGGUUUGGCUUUAGCUCAGCAGCUUUAUCUGUCGCUGAAGGCUCACGGGGAAGGCAAUUUGGGCACCCAGGCUUUGAUUUUGGCUCUGGAGAGGCUUAACAAUGUUUCCCUGGCCAACUCUGCAGCUUGAACCAACUGUAUACUGUAGAAUUGAUGUUUCUGAUGAAAUUGUGAAUGGGAAUAAAUAAUUGUUCUGCUCUUUAUUCUGUUGUCCUACUUUCUUGAUGUUUAUGCUAACUGAACCUGAUAAGAACGACGUUGCAAACAGAAUUAGUUAAGAGAAGGAUUGACUUAUUCCUUCCCUCCUCUUACCUAGGAUCAUCAUCAAAAACGUAAGCUCAUGUCAUUUGCAGAUGGACAGCCAAGAUCAAACGCAAUGUCUAGAAGAAGUGGUAAAGUUAGUAUAGAGCCAGGAACCUUCUUCUUUACAGAAGGGUCAAAAGUUCUCGUUCAAAUUUGGCGACCAACCCACUUUCUGGUUAUAUCUGAUAUCAGGUAGGUACAUUGAACGCUGUUUUGGAGUAUCCUGUGCUGGAACAAGUCCCACGUGCUGGUAUGAAGCUUCCUUGGAUUUCCAGGUUUGAAACCAGCAACAUUGACUUUUGGCCUAAUGGAGUUCAGGUUUCUGUAGACUCACGGCUUCCAUCGUAAUCGAUGGUUUACCUGCAGAAGAAGCCAUUUCAUAAAGACUUAGUAAGUUGAAACAAGCAAAGCUGAACUCAGCGACUUGAAGAAACUUUGGCCAUAUUACUCCCGUACAGUAAAUAGCUUUCAGCUGCAGUUUUCCAAUACUUUUUUCUAGCACCGUAUCAACACAUACCAGAAACCAAAGACUUGGCCUUUCUCAAAAACCCAUCUUAUAUUUUUCCAUCGCCAUAGUUCCAGAGCACCAUAGCAAAACAAAAGGAGUUGGUGAAACAUUAUGUGUAUGCUCACCGUUUUAUUUACUCUUUUCUUCUUCUGCUGCCAUGGAAGUUCUCAGCUUCUUCAGGACGACCGUGGAAUCCUGCUGAGAAUGAAGCAACACUGGCAGAACCCACUGCCACUCUCUCACUGGUCACUGGCUCCUUCACCGGGCUCAUCUCCCUGCGACUGGCCGGAAGUUAACUGCUCGGGAAACUCUGUCACGGUGCUGAAUUUCAAUUCUCUGAAUAUCCCUGGUACGGUUCCACCAUUCAUAUGUGAUCUGAAGAACCUGACUUUUCUGGAUCUUUAUAACAACAGCAUCGUUGGAGCAUUCCCAACAGUUCUGUACAACUGUUCCAAUCUUGAGUACUUAAACCUUGGCCAAAACUACUUCGUCGGUCCGAUACCCGGUGAUGUUGAUCGUUUGGGUCGACUGAAUCACCUUGAUGUCUCUGGUAAUAACUUCUCC